AUUGAACGCUGGCGGCAGGCCUAACACAUGCAAGUCGAACGAGUGGCGGACGGGUGAGUAAUGUAUGGGAAACUGCCUGAUGGAGGGGGAUAACUACUGGAAACGGUAGCUAAUACCGCAUACCAUCGGAUGUACCCAGAUGGGAUUAGCUAGUAGGUGGGGUAAAGGCUCACCUAGGCGACGAUCCCUAGCUGGUCGUAGAGGAUGACCAGCCACACUGGAACUGAGACACGGUCCAGACUCCUACGGGAGGCAGCAGUGGGGAAUAUUGGACAAUGGGCGCAAGCCUGAGGCAGCCAUGCCGCGUGUAUGAAGAAGGCCUUCGGGUUGUAAAGUACUUUCAGCGGGGAGGCGUUACCCGCAGAAGAAGCACCGGCUAACUCCGUGCCAGCAGCCGCGGUAAUAC
RNAcentral lists this ribosomal RNA (406 nucleotides) under uncultured bacterium. Its description in RNAcentral is "partial 16S ribosomal RNA". It matches the Rfam family "Bacterial small subunit ribosomal RNA", at positions 30 to 526 of the family's 1533-position model. The record is from RNAcentral.